AUAAGUGCUGAAAGCAUCUAAGCAUGAAGCCCCCCUCAAGAUGAGAUUUCCCAUAGCGUAAGCUAGUAAGAUCCCUGAAAGAUGAUCAGGUUGAUAGGUUCGAGGUGGAAGCAUGGUGACAUGUGGAGCUGACGAAUACUAAUAGAUCGAGGACUUAACCAUAUAA
RNAcentral lists this ribosomal RNA (166 nucleotides) under Bacillus thuringiensis. RNAcentral describes it as "partial 23S ribosomal RNA". It matches the Rfam family "Bacterial large subunit ribosomal RNA", at positions 2764 to 2925 of the family's 2925-position model. The record is from RNAcentral. Lineage: Bacteria; Bacillati; Bacillota; Bacilli; Caryophanales; Bacillaceae.